Molecule: ribosomal RNA, 254 nt
Filed under: uncultured bacterium
Lineage: Bacteria
Description: partial 16S ribosomal RNA
Rfam family: Bacterial small subunit ribosomal RNA
Source: RNAcentral
UACGGGGGGAGCAAGCGUUGUUCGGAUUUACUGGGCGUAAAGGGCGCGUAGGCGGCCACCGCAAGUCGACUGUGAAAUCUCCGGGCUUAACCCGGAAAGGUCAGCCGAUACUGCGGGGCUAGAGUGCAGAAGGGGCAACUGGAAUUCUCGGUGUAGCGGUGAAAUGCGUAGAUAUCGAGAGGAACACCAGCGGCGAAGGCGGGUUGCUGGGCUGACACUGACGCUGAGGCGCGAAAGCGUGGGGAGCAAACAGG